CCCUUCCCCCCUCUGUGCGCGUCCACGAUUGACGCGUCAGCCACGAGCAAUGAAAUUGAAAUGCAGCUAAGGCUGCUGGUGUCGGAACACAGAAAGGACCUCGGCCUCACUACUGUCUGGGAAGACCAGCUCUCCUAUCUUUUAUCACCAGCUUUGGCUUCAUAUGAAUUUGAGCGAACGACAAGCAUAUCUGCAGGCAACGAAGAAUUCCAGGAUGCCAUAAGGAGGGCUGUACCUGAUGGCCACACAUUUAAAGGGUUCCCCAUACAUUUUGUGUACAGAAAUGCAAGGCGUGCAUUUGCCACUUGUCUUCGGUCUCCUUUUUGUGAAGAAAUAAUCUGUUGCCGUGGAGACCAGGUGCGACUGGCAGUUCGUGUUCGAGUGUUUACCUACCCUGAGUCUGCGUGUGCUGUUUGGAUCAUGUUUGCUUGUAAAUAUCGCUCGGUAUUAUAGGACUAACAUUUCCUAAGAAUUAUUCCUGGGUUUUAUUAGAAUUGUAUAUGGAUAGCUGUGUGAAGGUUUCUUAAUUUAAAAUCAGCCUUUUGGAUGUCAUUGUUUUGUAUAGAUCUGACUGGUAACGUUUUAAAAUAUCAUGUAUGUACUUAAAAAUUAAGGAUAAAAAUUUGUACUGAAUUUAGUAGAAUUAAGGGUAUGAUAAUAAAUGGUACUUUGUUUUGAGGGACUCAGUAGUUUAAAUGUGAAUGUAAGAUCUGCUACUUCAUAUUAAUAAGUAAGUAAAGGGAUUUGUCUAAUGGUUUAAGCCAUAGCUAAAUCGAAAUGGUCAUUAUUUUUCAUAAAUGAAAGAUUAUUUUACACGAAUUGGGAGAAAUUAACCUCAUAAUAGUUUAUUUAUUACAUAGAUGAAGAUAUAUUUUGCUAAAUUAAUCAUUUUUGUGUGGUACUAGGGGUAUAUGAGGCUUCCCAGAAAUCUGUGAAGACUUUUAUGUAAGAAAAAAGCUAGGUGUGGUGGCACACACUUUUAAUUCCACAAGAGGCCAGCCUGGUCUACAUAGCAAGUGUCAGGGCUAUACAGUGAGAACCAGACUCCAAAACACAAACAACGACGACAAAAGGAAUGUGGUAACCAAAAUGCUGAAUGUUAAUAACAAAUCGCACAUGGAUAUGGACUAUGAAUAAUUUAUGGAUAUUUCUAAAAUCCAUUGAGCACUUUAGAAAGUGACUUAUUACAUGUCAUUGUCACGAUACUGGCUGCUCUUUAGUUUUUGUUGUGACAAAAGCAUCAGCCUGUUGCCAGGCUGUGGUGGUGCAGACCCUUACUUCCAGCACUAGGGAGGCAGAAACAGGCAGAUCUCUGUGAGGUCAAGGCCAGCCUUGUCAGUAGAGCUAGCUCCCGGACAGCCAGGGCUACACAGAGAACCCGGCCUCACAAAACAAACAAAAAACCCAAGAAAGAGACCG
Molecule: long non-coding RNA, 1419 nt
Filed under: Rattus norvegicus (Norway rat)
Lineage: Eukaryota; Metazoa; Chordata; Mammalia; Rodentia; Muridae
Description: long non-coding RNA NONRATT013897
Source: RNAcentral